UUUUCCUACGGGACGCAGCAGUGGGGGAUAUUGCACAAUGGGGGGAACCCUGAUGCAGCGACGCCGCGUGGGUGAAGAAGCGCCUCGGCGCGUAAAGCCCUGUCAGCAGGGAAGAAAAUGACGGUACCUGAAGAAGAAGCCCCGGCUAACUACGUGCCAGCAGCCGCGGUAAUACGUAGGUGGCAAGCGUUGUCCGGAAUUACUGGGUGUAAAGGGAGCGCAGGCGGGAAGCCAAGUCAGCUGUGAAAACUACGGGCUUAGCUUGUAGACUGCAGUUGAAACUGGUUUUCUUGAGUGAAGUAGGG
Molecule: ribosomal RNA, 305 nt
Filed under: uncultured bacterium
Lineage: Bacteria
Description: bacterial SSU rRNA
Rfam family: Bacterial small subunit ribosomal RNA
Source: RNAcentral